CAACAACAACAAAAAACCAAAGUGGGCCUCUGUCUGCCAGACGGGAAAAAGGAGAGGCAAGCCCAUGGCAAGGCUGCUCAGAGGGCUGGUAAACAGGCAGGAGGGGACCAAACCUCCUGGAAAUCUUGGUUCCAAAGCGUCAACAGGGUCAAAUGCUGCAAAGUGAAACAGCACAGAUUAUGAAAAGCCACCAGAUUUGGCCAGAGUGGGACUGUUGGUGAUCCAAAGCCUGGCUGAACUGGGAUGAGGAAGGAGUGAGAAAGGGAGGCCAAGGGCAGCGGAGGGGAGAAGAGGCAGAGCCGGGAUGUGGAGGCCUGAGAUCUUUCUCUUACCGCGGGAGAGGCUACACCAUUUGUGGGCUGCCGGAAAGGGGGAGGCUUGGAGAAAGGAAGGCUUGGAGCUCUAGAGGUGCGAAAGGGGAAAGAUGCACAAAAGCGGGAGGAAGCCUUACGGCGGCGGGACACAGAGCCCAAGAGGAAGGCCGGCCCAGCCCGCUUUUCUUCCUCUGAGAGAUGGGGCAGGGCUGAUGGCGAAUUCAGAUAAAUAGGCGUAAAGGGCCAGUACAGUCGCCGGCUGGCUCUGGGGCAUGGCGGGCAUUACUACGCCUUGGCGGCCUUUUCCCGGCGCGGCCCAGCGCACGAGAUCGCCGUUUCCGAGGGUCCACGCGGGCAGGGCGGAGCGCGCGGCCCACGGCCUGGCCGCUGCUGAUUGGCGCGCGGGAGCCACCUGACCGGCCCGGCCAAUCAGAGGCGCCCUCCCAGGAACGCGGCCCCACGUGUGGCCCGGAGCGGAAGCCCGAGCUGCGGCGGGGCGGCUCCGGGUGCCGGCCGCGUGCGUCCGGCGGCUCUCUGCUCCUGCGGAACUCAGAGGCUGAGGCCGGGCCUCUCCCAGCCCCGCCCGGUUCCUGCCCACCCACCCGCCUGCGGCGACCCCGAGUCCUUUUGCCAAACCUCCUCUCUCGCCGGCUUCUGCGGCUCAGCCGGGGUGUGUUCACCCUGUCCCUCUGUCUUGACUGGGCCGAAGUGGUGAUUUAGAGGAAGACAGAACCAAGAUUCCAGUCAUCGCGUGGCCUACGGCAGGUGUUUAACAUUGUAAAGUGGGACUACUAAUAUCUACUGUGGUGUUUUUGUGAGGAUUGUAAAGCCCAGUGCCUGGGACACGGUGUUUUAUUUAGUCUGUUGAAGACAUGCUUAUGUAUGCUUCUAAAAGCCCUUAGGAAGAGUCUCAAAUGACAUUCUACAGUUUGAUAUUUUGUUCCAGUGUUGUCAGGUUCUUAAACUACACUGUAGGUAUAAAUUGUUUCACACACAAAAAAACCCAUAUGGGCCCAUUAAACA
Molecule: non-coding RNA, 1337 nt
Organism: Vicugna pacos (alpaca)
Lineage: Eukaryota; Metazoa; Chordata; Mammalia; Artiodactyla; Camelidae
Source: RefSeq, a predicted model, not a curated record